This 491-nucleotide ribosomal RNA is filed under the name uncultured bacterium. Its description in RNAcentral is "bacterial SSU rRNA". It matches the Rfam family "Bacterial small subunit ribosomal RNA", at positions 28 to 507 of the family's 1533-position model. The record is from RNAcentral.
GAUGAACGCUAGCGACAGGCUUAACACAUGCAAGUCGAGGGGCAGCGAGGGAGUGGCAACACUUCUGUCGGCGACCGGCGCACGGGUGAGUAACGCGUAUGCAACCUGCCCUUCACAGGGGGAUAACCGGGAGAAAUUCCGACUAAUACCGCAUACGUCCUCCGGGGGCAUCCCCGGGGGAUGAAAGAGUUAUCGGUGAAGGAUGGGCAUGCGUGAUAUUAGGUAGUUGGCGGGGCAACGGCCCACCAAGCCCACGAUCAGUAGGGGUUCUGAGAGGAAGGUCCCCCACAUUGGAACUGAGACACGGUCCAAACUCCUACGGGGGGGCAGCAGUGAGGAAUAUUGGUCAAUGGGCGCGAGCCUGAACCAGCCCAGUAGCGUGCGGGAGGAAGGCCCUAUGGGGUUGGUAAAACCGCUUUUACCGGGGGAUAAAGUGAGCGACGUGUCGCUCAUUGCAGGUACCCGGCGAAUAAGGACCGGCUAAUUCCGUG